AUAUUCAGCUGUUGAGAAAAUAAAGGGAAAUAGGACCUUAGAAAUUAGGAGGCAAUACAUCAGGUAAAAAGAGUAUUUCUGCAGUAGGUAGGAAACAGAAAAUCAAUAGAAAAAAAGAUAGAAGCAAUCCAGAGGAGGGAACCUGAAAGAGAUAAAAGGAAAUGGGCUGAGGUAGUGAAGAAGGGCAUGGAACAUGAAUCAAGAUUGUGACUGUGGAGUUAUAUGCAGGCAAGCAAAUGGAAGCCAUUAUUAAGAAGUAGGUAAAAAAGAGGAAAGGAGGAAAAAAGAAUCAAGAGAAAAAAGUGGCUGAGAAGAGAUUAAGAGUAAAAAGGAAGUAGUAGUUCUUCUCUCUACACUACAGCAAUCAGGAAUAGAGUGUGGAUACUCAGCAGAGAUUCUUCUUUCUACAGAACAGGAAUAGAGAAAACAAGAAUUUGGUUGGCAAAUAAAAUCCAGUGGAGAAAGGCACUUGGCAGACACCCAGCAAAGGAGACACCUAUUUGAAUAACCAGGGAUCAAGGCUAAAAGAAUCCCAAGUAGCAAUAGAACAAGCAGGCUGCAAGGGGGAAGAGCAACAUUCAAAGGAGUGAAGCUGUUGGGAAGUGGCAGCAGAAAUCAAGAAAACCCAAAGACUGGUUCCAUGAGAGGUCAACUCUAAAUGCAUCUAGGAAAAAAGAAGCUGAUCUGGAGAAGAUAUGAAUGUACAUACUAGGAGGAGGCUGAGGAUGGAUUUUAUGCAAAGAUGUAAUACACUUAGUAUUGAUUUGAAUUUGUGAUUAUACAUAUUGACUACAUUGUGAUUCUCCAUCUUCAUAAUGAUAACCUGACUAUAGAAAAGACAGAAACAGUCAAAAGGUUUACUCAGUAUGGAGAAAAAUGGACAAACUGAAGACUAUUCUCAGAAAAGUGGAAGAAUGAUAUUUCUGUAGUAUGGAAUGAAGCAUUAUAGGUGAACCAGAUUGACCUGCUAAUGUUAGUACGGUAUUAUUACUAUGGAAGAUGAACCAGAACACUUAAGUGGAGAUGGUCUUUCCCAUCUGUCAUAGCAGAUUGAUGAUGUCAUGCAUCCUUGCCCUUCUGAAAUGGUAAGUACUUCAUUUUC
Crotalus tigris (Tiger rattlesnake) is the source of this 1102-nucleotide long non-coding RNA. RefSeq lists it as uncharacterized. The transcript is spliced from 4 exons. The record is from RefSeq and is a predicted model, not a curated record. NCBI's taxonomy places the organism in Eukaryota, Metazoa, Chordata, Lepidosauria, Squamata, Viperidae.